AUCCGCGGGUCUUUGCCAGGAAAUUUUAUCACAAAAUGGCGGGAAGGAUGCUGGUACCCUUUCCUCUGAAUUCUCUUAUAAAUUCAAGCUCUUACAUACUUGAAGACCACAUGUAUCGUCUUCAAGUGUCUGAAGGACCUCCUCUAUGGACUCGUUAGCUCUGGGCUUCCCUUUCUGCUAAUUUGAAACUAGCCGUUUAAACCAAAACCGAACAAAUUAUAUAUUGCCAUAUAUCUGUUGAAAUCUAUGCACUCAGGAGGGGGCAAGUUUGACAUACAUAAUAGACUAAGGAUAUGCCAACUUGAAAUGGAGGAAGAAAGAAUACGUGAGAAUAUCGCAAGCUUCAUUCAUUGAUUGGAACCAAGCCUCGUGGUGACUGACAUUCACGGAGGGACGUUAUUUGAUGUCGUGCCAUUCUGCAAUGGACAUCAUUCUAACGAGGAUGGGUGGAGAGCAGGAAACGGACCUUUUGGAGUCUGGUCUUGGGGUCGAUCUAAUAGAAUUCCUGGUCCUGAUCCUGGUCCUGGUAUACUGCAUCAUAUUAUGAGGCAAAAGCCAUUCGGAUUUCUGAAGCGAAGGUGUGACUGAACAGAAAAACCUUCUGAAGAUUCGUAUUGAAACUUUCCAGCAAAGAAAACAGGUACGAAUUACAGGAAGCAUUGUGGUGAUUAUUUUACAAGGACACUGUAAGUAUACUUGCCCUGUCGAUAAUUAUGUCUGUCUGUCCACCCGGCUGUCCGUCUGUCCGUCCCCUAUUCCCUCUUAUCAGGGGCGUCGACUCUGGAGUAUAGAUGAUUAGUUAUGUAGCACCCAUUGACAUAGAGAUUUGAUUUGAACCUAUUGUGAGGGAUUUGUCUGUCCUAAAGCCUCGACAUGGCUUGGCUCUCAUGUCUUUAUACGAUCUAAACCACCAUUUAUUACCAAAAUUAAUUUCACAUACAACAACGAAUAUAUGCAGAUGUAUUUUUUAUAAUACAUAUUUAGGUAAAAGGAACUAACAAAAUAGCACAAUGCCGGUUGUGGUUAGUUCCAUUCAAAAUAAUUACUUCAUUCUGAAACUUUUUUUAACUUAAAAUUUAUAUCGCUAUUCACAAUUUACAAAGUUCUCAUUAUGAAGGAAAAAAAACACAUAAGGUUUUGGCGGGAGAAAAUGUAUGUCUAUAGGACAAUUGAAACUGAGAUGUGAUAACGUAACGAAUUAGGUAGAAACAUUAGAAAAAGAAAGGAACCUCAGCUUUAGGAAGAUAUGAAGUAAAGUAUAUUGCCAAGGAACGGUUCACUUCACAUUGUACAAAGAUGAUAGUCCUUUUGUUGAACUAAACUAUGACUCAGAAUCUAUACGAAGAAUGAGUCGUUGUAGGAUGAUACAUGGUUAAAGCGCGAAUGAUUAACGGUGUGUGGAUAAUUAUUUUGUACCAAAUUCUAUUCUUUCACAUACUUCAAAUACUUACUUAUUGGAUAAAUAAAGUGCACGCAAAUGCUUAUCAAUGUUAACAUUGCAUGUAAAUUAUGUGAAAGAACCGUAAUUCGCGAAAAAAAAAUCUAUUCAAGUAUUGGAGACGCAAUAAUAACAAGUCAUGAACAUUUUGAUGCACAAGAACACAACUUUUACUACGUUUGCAAAUAAAGACACAUUUUUUAAAAUUUCUAAAUAUAUAAUGGCAACCUCUCUAAUACCUUAUUCAAUUGAAUAUUACAUAAAUUGUGACCCGAUUUCGUUAACAGGCUAUAACGACUUCCGCCCAUUUCAAUUGGCUUUACAUCAUAGGCUUGAACACACCUCCUGGUUCAGGGUGUUAUAUUGGCGGCCUAGAUAAGUUUUCAAACUGUAUACAUUGAAUUGAUCAGAACGUGUUCGACUGUGUGUUUAGACUAUUUCAAAAUGCAGAAUCUGAAAUGUAUUUUUUUUCAUGAGCUUCUUAAUAUAUCAUGGGUAAAGAUGUAUCAAAUUCGUUAUAUUUUUCUGACAGCACCCCAUAGCAAAUAUUUCGGUGAAUUGGAAAAGGUUGCUUAUACUGUAUCAACUUACAGUAGACAAAAGUACAAAGCUGCUACACCAAGUGCCUGUAAAAUUAAAAUUAAAAUAAUUUGUAAAUGUCUCAGCUGAGAGAAAGCCACAUUUGUUCAUAUGCUCUCUUUUGCCCUGACACAAUAAGAAUGUAAUUAUGGGAACAAAUAGUUAAAAUAAAUCAGUGUACCCUAAAACAUUAGACCCAGAAAAAUAGCAAACAUAUUUUCACAAAAGCAGAUACGACGCUGUACUGAAAAAAAAUUGAGGAAUAAAGAAAGAAACAUACUCUCCCCUAUAGAGUGAUAAAUCUUCCCGAUACUGAUAUCAGAGAACAAUAGUCGUCGUGGUAAAGUUGCUGGUAGCUGUACAAAAUGGCGAUUGGGGUCGAGUUAUCUACUAAGAUAUUAAAGAUGGUGUGUUUAACGUUCCCAAUCUUUCUUUUUAAUUAAUCACUUCGCGUUUGGCUAAAAACAGUAUAUCUGGAAAGUAAAUCGCUUUUUGCUAUUAUACCAGCAGAGGGUAAAAAAGCUAGAUUUAAAGCAUGAAGCUUCUCUUUUUCAUCAUUUUGGUUGCGUCAUCUUAUGCUGACACGUGGAUUGAAUAGUAGAUUAUAGCAGAUGAGAAAGAAAAAACAUUUAUAUAAAACAUAAAUGAUGAUUUACAAAAAAGAAGAUUUAAACAAUAUUUUGUAAAGGAAUAUAUAUAUAUAGAUGUAUUCAACUCUUUGUGACGAACGAUUAUUGAAAAGACAGUAUUGUUUUAAUUCACAUUGCCGAAAGUAUCUAUGAAUGAGAGAAAAGGACACUCCAAUUAACACGAAUAGAAACUUUAUUAAGGCUCAUAAUACAAGCUUGACGGUGAAAACUGAUCAUUGCCGCAUAAUAAAGGGAAAAAGAAAAAA
This 2912-nucleotide long non-coding RNA is filed under the name Strongylocentrotus purpuratus (purple sea urchin). RNAcentral describes it as "uncharacterized LOC115923951". Lineage: Eukaryota; Metazoa; Echinodermata; Echinoidea; Camarodonta; Strongylocentrotidae. The record is from RNAcentral.